Molecule: ribosomal RNA, 292 nt
Filed under: uncultured prokaryote
Description: partial 16S ribosomal RNA
Rfam family: Archaeal small subunit ribosomal RNA
Source: RNAcentral
GUGCCGCAGCCGCGGUAAUACCGGCAGCCCGAGUGAUGGCCGAUCUUAUUGGGCCUAAAGCGUCCGUAGCUGGCCGCACAAGUCCAUCGGAAAAUCCACCCGCCCAACGGGUGGGCGUCCGGUGGAAACUGUGUGGCUUGGGACCGGAAGGCGCGACGGGUACGUCCGGGGUAGGAGUGAAAUCCCGUAAUCCUGGACGGACCGCCGAUGGCGAAAGCACGUCGCGAGGACGGAUCCGACAGUGAGGGACGAAAGCCAGGGUCUCGAACCGGAUUAGAUACCCGCGUAGUCC